RNAcentral lists this ribosomal RNA (496 nucleotides) under uncultured bacterium. RNAcentral describes it as "bacterial SSU rRNA". It matches the Rfam family "Bacterial small subunit ribosomal RNA", at positions 30 to 524 of the family's 1533-position model. The record is from RNAcentral.
AUUGAACGCUGGCGGCAUGCUUUACACAUGCAAGUCGAGCGGCAGCGCGGGGGCAACCCUGGCGGCGAGCGGCGAACGGGUGAGUAAUAUAUCGGAACGUGCCCAAUAGUGGGGGAUAGCCCGGCGAAAGCCGGAUUAAUACCGCAUACGACCUGAGGGUGAAAGCGGGGGAUCGCAAGACCUCGCGCUAUUGGAGCGGCCGAUAUCAGAUUAGGUAGUUGGUGGGGUAAAGGCCUACCAAGCCUACGAUCUGUAGCUGGUCUGAGAGGACGACCAGCCACACUGGGACUGAGACACGGCCCAGACUCCUACGGGAGGCAGCAGUGGGGAAUUUUGGACAAUGGGCGCAAGCCUGAUCCAGCCAUGCCGCGUGCGGGAUUAAGGCCCUAUGGGUUGUAAACUUCUUUUAGACGGGACAAAACCCCUUUACGUGUAAAGGGUUGAUGGUACUGUCAGAAUAAGCAUCGGCUAACUUCGUGCCAGCAGCCGCGGUAAA